This 465-nucleotide ribosomal RNA is filed under the name uncultured bacterium. Its description in RNAcentral is "partial 16S ribosomal RNA". It matches the Rfam family "Bacterial small subunit ribosomal RNA", at positions 28 to 507 of the family's 1533-position model. The record is from RNAcentral.
GACGAACGCUGGCGGCGUGCUUAACACAUGCAAGUCGAACGGAAAGGCCCUGCUUGCAGGGUACUCGAGUGGCGAACGGGUGAGUAACACGUGGGUGCUCUGCCCUGCACUUCGGGAUAAGCCUGGGCAACUGGGUCUAAUACCGGAUAGGAGCCAUUUUUAGCGUGAUGGUUGGAAAGUUUUUUCGGUGUAGGAUGAGCUCGCGGCCUAUCAGCUUGUUGGUGGGGUAAUGGCCUACCAAGGCGGCGACGGGUAGCCGGCCUGAGAGGGUGGACGGCCACAUUGGGACUGAGGUACGGCCCAGACGCCUACGGGAGGCAGCAGUGGGGAAUAUUGCACAAUGGGCGCAAGCCUGAUGCAGCGACGCCGCGUGGGGGAUGACGGCCUUCGGGUUGUAAACUCCUUUCGCUGGGGACGAAGCUUUUUGUGACGGUACCUAGAUAAGAAGCACCGGCUAACUACGUG